GACGAAGGGGGCUAGCGUUGUUCGGAAUUACUGGGCGUAAAGCGCGUGUAGGCGGUUAUCCAAGUCAGGUGUGAAAGCCUUGAGCUCAACUCAAGAAAUGCACUUGGUACUGGGUGACUAGAGGACCGGAGAGGAUAGUGGAAUUCCCAGUGUAGUGGUGAAAUACGUAGAGAUUGGGAAGAACACCAGUGGCGAAGGCGGGUCUCUGGACAGUUCCUGACGCUGAGGCACGAAGGCCAGGGGAGCAAACGGG
This 253-nucleotide ribosomal RNA is filed under the name uncultured bacterium. RNAcentral describes it as "partial 16S ribosomal RNA". It matches the Rfam family "Bacterial small subunit ribosomal RNA", at positions 524 to 776 of the family's 1533-position model. The record is from RNAcentral.